CACAGUAAGCACAUCUUCUUCCACCUUUUCUUUAAUUGAUUUACCAUUCAAUUUCUUCAAAUUAAAUCUUGAGCACACUGACCCACCGCCACCACAAGCAUCUCGCCGGCAUCCUCUCUCCUCACCAACAUCGCACCCACUUCCAUGUGAAUCUCGGUCCUCCAUUGCGUCUUCUCCCUCAAAUUGAAACUCCAAAUCACAAGGGAAUCGGCCGCACCGGGGGAGC
This 226-nucleotide long non-coding RNA is filed under the name Erythranthe guttata (spotted monkey flower). RNAcentral's name for it is "long non-coding RNA (EGUT_LNC002070)". The record is from RNAcentral. Lineage: Eukaryota; Viridiplantae; Streptophyta; Magnoliopsida; Lamiales; Phrymaceae.